UCAUCACCUUCAUCUCAACUUGAAACCCAGCCUCUUCGUUGAGUCUGAUACACACACACACACACACACUGAUAAAUCUCAUUAUUACCAAACAUGGCUUCCUCACUUUUCAAGUUCACAGUCUUCCUCUUCAUUGCCCUCGUCCUUCUCUCACCCAACGAGAAUAAUGUAGCAGAAGCAAAACUGUGUGAAAAACUGAGCAAAACAUUUUCUGGGAUAUGUAUCCGCAAGAAACCCUGCAAGUCUGCAUGCGCCAAAGAGGGAGCUGUUGACGGAAGCUGUCAUACUCAUGGCUUUGGACGGGCUUGCUUUUGCUACUUCCGCUGUUGAUCGAUGAGAUCCAGAGCAGAAGAUAUAUAUCACGCAUCAUCCUUUGAAUACUAUAGGUGUUAUUAUGAAUAUAUAUAAGAUAAAUAAGUAGUGCUUCAUUCAGUUAAAGCACUGCCACAUUAUACGCCCCAAAAAUUUAUGAUGUCUGGCUGUUGUUUGCCUAUGUCUUAAUUUGUGUGUGUGUGUUUAUCCUUUUAUGUUGUUUCUCUUGGUUUGUUGAUGUCUGUUGUAAUGAAUAUAUUAAUUGUAUCUGUUUCGUGUUACAUAAUGAAGGAUUCAGUUGUGUUAUGAAAAA
This is a long non-coding RNA of Neltuma alba, 625 nucleotides long. RefSeq lists it as uncharacterized. NCBI's taxonomy places the organism in Eukaryota, Viridiplantae, Streptophyta, Magnoliopsida, Fabales, Fabaceae. The record is from RefSeq and is a predicted model, not a curated record. The transcript has 2 exons.